GAACGCUAGCGGGAUGCCUUACACAUGCAAGUCGAACGGCAGCGCGGACUUCGGUCUGGCGGCGAGUGGCGAACGGGUGAGUAAUGCAUCGGAACGUGCCCAGUCGUGGGGGAUAACGCAGCGAAAGCUGUGCUAAUACCGCAUACGAUCUGCGGAUGAAAGCGGGGGACCUUCGGGCCUCGCGCGAUUGGAGCGGCCGAUGUCAGAUUAGGUAGUUGGUGGGGUAAAGGCUCACCAAGCCAACGAUCUGUAGCUGGUCUGAGAGGACGACCAGCCACACUGGAACUGAGACACGGUCCAGACUCCUACGGGAGGCAGCAGUGGGGAAUUUUGGACAAUGGACGCAAGUCUGAUCCAGCCAUUCCGCGUGCAGGAUGAAGGCCCUCGGGUUGUAAACUGCUUUUGUACGGAACGAAAAGGUUUCUAUUAAUACUAGGAGCUCAUGACGGUACCGUAAGAAUAAGCACCGGCUAACUACGUG
Molecule: ribosomal RNA, 481 nt
Filed under: uncultured bacterium
Lineage: Bacteria
Description: bacterial SSU rRNA
Rfam family: Bacterial small subunit ribosomal RNA
Source: RNAcentral